This is a long non-coding RNA of Triticum aestivum (bread wheat), 810 nucleotides long. RefSeq lists it as uncharacterized. Lineage: Eukaryota; Viridiplantae; Streptophyta; Magnoliopsida; Poales; Poaceae. The record is from RefSeq and is a predicted model, not a curated record. The transcript has 3 exons.
CUCCCCGUACACAGAUCGUCUUCCUCCCCCUUUGCCAGAUUUUGUACCAGUACAUCCUCCUGAGCUAGGGUUCAGGUCCAGCGAGCUCAAGAUCGAUCUCAGAUCUUAAUGAAACGCGGUUGUCUCUCCCUCUUCUAUACCACUCAGGUGAAUUAGGGUUAUUAAAUUUCGAUCGUUCUCUCUGAACAAUCUGCCGUUGCCGCCGCCGCGGUCGCUGUCGCCGUCAGCACUAUCCAUCGGCAGCAGCUCAAGGAUGUAGGUCAUUAUGGAGUCUUAUUGCCUGGAGACGGUAAAUCUGUUGAAGACGAGGACGACGAGCAGGGCUGCAAUUCUUCAUGUUCUUAUGCGCAUGCAGGACAAAGCAGAUAACCGAAGUUGUUGCAUCCAAGAUAAAUGCAUAAAAAGACGCCUCACCAUCUCGGAUUCUUGGUUGCAUAGGGAAUGUGAAGCAUCACCCUCCUUCACAGAUCGUGGGUGGUAUGAAUUAGGAGAUCAAAGAAUCCAGAGCCUGAGCUAUGACUGGGUAAUCUUCAGAGGAGUCAUCUUCAUAGGUCUCCAAGAUGGCAUCUGAUGAAACUGAUAAUUUCACCUCUCGUACUAGCCCAGAUCGUGGGUGGUUGUCUCAGGCUUCGGUUUUUUUGGCACCAUGUAAUCAGCAAGAACGUACGUUUGCUAGAAAAUCUUGUAUCCAAGUUUUCUUUAGUUUAGAUGAGUGGUUGUUGUACAAUUUAUCCGGAUGCUUGUGUUAUUCCGAUGUGAAAGACGUGAUGUUCUUGCAUAUAAGCAUCUAAAGAAAAUUUAUUCAGAGAU